This 311-nucleotide unclassified non-coding RNA is filed under the name uncultured Clavaria. Its description in RNAcentral is "sequence contains 5.8S rRNA gene". The stretch from base 1 to 53 matches the Rfam family "5.8S ribosomal RNA", at positions 102 to 154 of the family's 154-position model. Lineage: Eukaryota; Fungi; Basidiomycota; Agaricomycetes; Agaricales; Clavariaceae. The record is from RNAcentral.
GAACGCACCUUGCACCCUCUAGUAUUCUGGAGGGUAUGCCUGUUUGAGUGUCAUUAAUCUCUCAACACAAGAAAACUUGUUUCUUGUGCUUGGAUAUUGAAGGUUUUGCUGGCGCAAAUAACUGUCAGCUCCUUUUAAAUGCAUUAGCAGAGCAGUGUAGGACUGGCCUCAGUUUGAUAAGAAAUAUUUAUCUAUGCUGUCGCUAGAUUUCCUCUUUGUGUUCAGCUUCAAACUGUCUUCGGACUGUCUCUCUUGAGGCAAAACAAUUCAUUGAUCGACCUCAAAUCAGGUAGGACUACCCGCUGAACUUA